Molecule: ribosomal RNA, 460 nt
Filed under: uncultured bacterium
Lineage: Bacteria
Description: partial 16S ribosomal RNA
Rfam family: Bacterial small subunit ribosomal RNA
Source: RNAcentral
CCUACGGGAGGCAGCAGUGAGGAAUAUUGGUCAAUGGGCGCUAGCCUGAACCAGCCAAGUAGCGUGAAGGAUGAAUGCCCUAUGGGUUGUAAACUUCUUAUAGAUGGGAAUAAAGUGCAGUAUGUAUACUGAUUUGCAUGUACCUUAUGAAUAAGGAUAGGCUAACUCCGUGCUAGAAUCCGCGAUAAUACGGAGGCUUCGAGCGUUAUCCGGAUUUAUUGGGGUUAAAGGGAGCGUAGGCGGGUUGUUAAGUCAGUUGUGAAAGUUUGCGGCUCAACCGUAAAAUUGCAGUUGAUACUGGCAUCCUUGAGUACAGUAGAGGUAGGCGGAAUUCGUGGUGUAGCGGUGAAAUGCUUAGAUAUCACGAAGAACUCCGAUUGCGAAGGCAGCCUGCUGGACUGUAACUGACGCUGAUGCUCGAAAGUGUGGGUAUCAAACAGGAUUAGAUACCCGGGUAGUC